AUUGAAGGAGCUUGCUCCUGAUUGAUAAACAUUUGAGUGAGUGGCGGACGGGUGAGUAACACGUGGGUAACCUGCCCUAAAGUGGGGGAUAACAUUUGGAAACAGAUGCUAAUACCGCAUAAAACCUAACACCGCAUGGUGUAGGGUUGAAAGAUGGUUUCGGCUAUCACUUUAGGAUGGACCCGCGGUGCAUUAGUUAGUUGGUGAGGUAAAGGCUCACCAAGACCGUGAUGCAUAGCCGACCUGAGAGGGUAAUCGGCCACACUGGGACUGAGACACGGCCCAGACUCCUACGGGAGGCAGCAGUAGGGAAUCUUCCACAAUGGACGAAAGUCUGAUGGAGCAACGCCGCGUGAGUGAAGAAGGUUUUCGGAUCGUAAAACUCUGUUGUUGGAGAAGAAUGUAUCUGAUAGUAACUGAUCAGGUAGUGACGGUAUCCAACCAGAAAGCCACGGCUAACUACGUGCCAGCAGCCGCGGUAAUACGUAGGUGGCAAGCGUUGUCCGGAUUUAUUGGGCGUAAAGCGAGCGCAGGCGGUUUCUUAAGUCUGAUGUGAAAGCCUUCGGCUCAACCGAAGAAGUGCAUCGGAAACUGGGAAACUUGAGUGCAGAAGAGGACAGUGGAACUCCAUGUGUAGCGGUGAAAUGCGUAGAUAUAUGGAAGAACACCAGUGGCGAAGGCGGCUGUCUGGUCUGUAACUGACGCUGAGGCUCGAAAGCAUGGGUAGCAAACAGGAUUAGAUACCCUGGUAGUCCAUGCCGUAAACGAUGAGUGCUAGGUGUUGGAGGGUUUCCGCCCUUCAGUGCCGCAGCUAACGCAUUAAGCACUCCGCCUGGGGAGUACGACCGCAAGGUUGAAACUCAAAGGAAUUGACGGGGGCCCGCACAAGCGGUGGAGCAUGUGGUUUAAUUCGAAGCAACGCGAAGAACCUUACCAGGUCUUGACAUCCUUUGACCACUCUAGAGAUAGAGCUUUCCCUUCGGGGACAAAGUGACAGGUGGUGCAUGGUUGUCGUCAGCUCGUGUCGUGAGAUGUUGGGUUAAGUCCCGCAACGAGCGCAACCCUUAUUACUAGUUGCCAGCAUUAAGUUGGGCACUCUAGUGAGACUGCCGGUGACAAACCGGAGGAAGGUGGGGACGACGUCAAAUCAUCAUGCCCCUUAUGACCUGGGCUACACACGUGCUACAAUGGAUGGUACAACGAGUUGCGAGACCGCGAGGUUUAGCUAAUCUCUUAAAACCAUUCUCAGUUCGGAUUGUAGGCUGCAACUCGCCUACAUGAAGCCGGAAUCGCUAGUAAUCGCGGAUCAGCAUGCCGCGGUGAAUACGUUCCCGGGCCUUGUACACACCGCCCGUCACACCAUGAGAGUUUGUAACACC
Molecule: ribosomal RNA, 1379 nt
Filed under: Latilactobacillus sakei
Lineage: Bacteria; Bacillati; Bacillota; Bacilli; Lactobacillales; Lactobacillaceae
Description: bacterial SSU rRNA
Rfam family: Bacterial small subunit ribosomal RNA
Source: RNAcentral